GUGGGAGGGGGCUUGCCCCCGAUGGCGGUGUGUCAGUCACUCUUCACUUAACUGAUCCACCGCUAUCGGGGGCAAGCCCCCUCCCAC
Molecule: non-coding RNA, 87 nt
Filed under: Pseudomonas sp. SJZ103
Lineage: Bacteria; Pseudomonadati; Pseudomonadota; Gammaproteobacteria; Pseudomonadales; Pseudomonadaceae
Source: RNAcentral